RNAcentral lists this ribosomal RNA (427 nucleotides) under uncultured bacterium. RNAcentral describes it as "partial 16S ribosomal RNA". It matches the Rfam family "Bacterial small subunit ribosomal RNA", at positions 355 to 774 of the family's 1533-position model. The record is from RNAcentral.
UGGGGAAUAUUGCACAAUGGGCGCAAGCCUGAUGCAGCCAUGCCGCGUGUGUGAAGAAGGCCUUCGGGUUGUAAAGCACUUUCAGCGAGGAGGAAGGGUGGUGUGUUAAUAGCACAUUGCAUUGACGUUACUCGCAGAAGAAGCACCGGCUAACUCCGUGCCAGCAGCCGCGGUAAUACGGAGGGUGCAAGCGUUAAUAGGAAUUACUGGGCGUAAAGCGCACGCAGGCGGUUUGUUAAGUCAGAUGUGAAAUCCCCGCGCUUAACGUGGGAACUGCAUUUGAAACUGGCAAGCUAGAGUCUUGUAGAGGGGGGUAGAAUUCCAGGUGUAGCGGUGAAAUGCGUAGAGAUCUGGAGGAAUACCGGUGGCGAAGGCGGCCCCCUGGACAAAGACUGACGCUCAGGUGCGAAAGCGUGGGGAGCAAACA